CCUACGGGUGGCAGCAGUAGGGAAUUUUCGGCAAUGGGGGGAACCCUGACCGAGCAACGCCGCGUUAACGAAGAAGUUAUUCGUAAUGUAAAGUUCUUUUAACAGGGAAGAAAAAGACAUUUCACGUUACCUGAAGAAUAACCCCCGGCUAACUACGUGCCGGCAGCCGCGGUAAGCCGUAGGGAGCGUGCGUUAUACGGAAUUAUUGGGCGUAAGGGGUGCGUAGAUGGCAUAGAAAGUCUUUUGUAAAAGUGCUGGGCUCAACCCAGUAGGGCAAAAGAUACUGCAUAGCUAGAGUAUGACAGAGGCAAGUGGAACUACAUGUGUAGCGGUGAAAUGCGUAAAUAUAUGUAAGAACACCAGUGGCGAAGGCGGCUUGCUGGGUCGAUACUGACAUUGAGGCACGAAAGCGUGGGGAGCAAACAGGAUUAGAUACCCGGGUAGUC
RNAcentral lists this ribosomal RNA (446 nucleotides) under uncultured bacterium. Its description in RNAcentral is "partial 16S ribosomal RNA". It matches the Rfam family "Bacterial small subunit ribosomal RNA", at positions 338 to 795 of the family's 1533-position model. The record is from RNAcentral.